Molecule: ribosomal RNA, 750 nt
Filed under: uncultured bacterium
Lineage: Bacteria
Description: bacterial SSU rRNA
Rfam family: Bacterial small subunit ribosomal RNA
Source: RNAcentral
GGGGCAGUCUACAUCCAAGUCGAGCGAAGCGAUUUUGAGGAAUUUUCGGAUGGAAUCGAAAUUGACUUAGCGGCGGACCUUUGAGAAACACGUGGGUAAUCUGCCUUAUACAGGGGGACCCUUAUUAGAAAUGACUGCUAAUACCGCAUAAGCGCACGGGGACGCAUGUUUCUGUGUGAAAAACUCCGGUAGUAUACCAUGAGCCCGCGUCUGAUUAGCUUGUUGGUGGGGUAACGGCCUACCAAGGCGACGAUCAGUAGCCGGCCUGAGAGGGUGAACGGCCACAUUGGGACUGAGACACGGCCCAAACUCCUACGGGAGGCAGCAGUGGGGAAUAUUGCACAAUGGGGGAAACCCUGAUGCAGCGACGCCGCGUGAGUGAAGAAGUAUUUCGGUAUGUAAAGCUCUAUCAGCAGGGAAGAAAAUGACGGUACCUGACUAAGAAGCCCCGGCUAACUACGUGCCAGCAGCCGCGGUAAUACGUAGGGGGCAAGCGUUAUCCGGAUUUACUGGGUGUAAAGGGAGCGUAGACGGCGCGGCAAGUCUGAAGUGAAAGGCAGGGGCUUAACCCCUGAACUGCUUUGGAAACUGCCAUGCUAGAGUGCUGGAGAGGUAAGUGGAAUUCCUAGUGUAGCGGUGAAAUGCGUAGAUAUUAGGAGGAACACCAGUGGCGAAGGCGGCUUACUGGACAGUAACUGACGUUGAGGCUCGAAAGCGUGGGGAGCAAACAGGAUUAUAUACCCUGGUAGU